Mus caroli (Ryukyu mouse) is the source of this 508-nucleotide long non-coding RNA. RefSeq lists it as uncharacterized. The record is from RefSeq and is a predicted model, not a curated record. Lineage: Eukaryota; Metazoa; Chordata; Mammalia; Rodentia; Muridae.
AGGAAGCAACAGGAUGAACUAAGCUGUGUUUUAGGAGACGCUACACUGAACUAUAUUCUGUAUGAAGAACUGAUGUCAUGGUAUUUAAGAAAGUCCCGAGAACGCGCUGGGAAGAAUCAUUCAGCCCAUUCUGCUCCCUCUGGCAAUAAAGGUGGCGGGUACUGGAGCAAGCAGACAACAUUACACAGUUUGCGUUUUAGAUCUAUAGCGUCUUUUAAUCACACUGCUUCCGAGGCACAACAUGGAGACACACUCAAAUGUGACAUCUUUGCUACGGAGCCUCAUUUUUGCUCGAUCUUCAAUUACUAGCUUUCUUAGGUCAAGUAAUGUUGACCCUUCUCCUGACUUUCCAUGCGCUGGAUGAGAAUGAAGAUUAUCAGAACAUCCUGGGUAAUGGGUAGAAGUCCUGCUUCCACCCUCUCAGCCUGGGACUUGGUUAGUGAGGUCAUAUUAGGCCAAAAGGGUCCAUCUUCAGAGGCAUUUCCAUUUUAGAUAUUUGAUGAGUAAA